RNAcentral lists this ribosomal RNA (348 nucleotides) under uncultured bacterium. Its description in RNAcentral is "bacterial SSU rRNA". It matches the Rfam family "Bacterial small subunit ribosomal RNA", at positions 303 to 664 of the family's 1533-position model. The record is from RNAcentral.
GACCGGCACACUGGGACUGAGACACGGAGAGAAACCUACGGGAGGCAGCAGUGGGGAAUAUUGGGCAAUGGAGGAAACUCUGACCCAGCGACGCCGCGUGAGGGAUGAAGGCCUUCGGGUUGUAAACCUCUUUCAGUAGGGAAGAAGCGAAAGUGACGGUACCUACAGAAGAAGCACCGGCUAACUAUGUGCCAGCAGCCGCGGUAAUACAUAGGGUGCAAGCGUUGUCCGGAAUUAUUGGGCGUAAAGAGUUCGUAGGGGGUUCGUUACUUCGGAUGUGAAAAUCGGGGGCUCAACCCCUGACCUGCAUUCGAUACGGUCGAGCUAGAGUGUGGUAGGGGAGACUGG